AAUAUCGCUAGGUGGCAGUGCAUUCGCCAUAGCAUCUCAUGCUCAACAAAUUCAUUCAAAGAAGAAGAACGAUUAGAAUAGAGCACGCAUGCGCAGAAUGCAGGUGUAUUCUACUGUUGGCUGGUGAACGUGGCGGUGCUCAGACAGGAGAUGUUUACUGUUCUACAUGGAUUCAGACUGAUGUACUGCAGGCGAGCACGUGGUUGGGGGUGAAGAGAUGAAGAUGAGGAUGAAGGUUCCUUCACAUUGUGCCAUCAUGUCUCCUACAUCUGACCUGGAUGUAUAAAGUCCACAUGGACUAAGAUUUCCCUGAGUAAUCUUCUGGGAUCCAAAUCCCUGAUUGCCUGGGAUUCCUGGAAUCCCGCGUUUGUUGAGGAGACGCAUGAAUCGAGACUGAAGCUGCAAAAUCAGGAUCCAGUGUGCCUGUUUUUGUAGACUACGAUAAUGUUUCUGUGCUGCACAUAGUUUUGCUUUUGUUCAUUUUAUUUCCUCAUUUUCUGGAGAAACGUCUAAUUUUCCAGUGUACUUAAUCAGCUAUAUGUAGAGGUCUGAAAUUACAAUAAAAAGAUUCUUGAAUUCUUCUAAAA
This is a long non-coding RNA of Silurus meridionalis, 587 nucleotides long. RefSeq lists it as uncharacterized. The transcript is spliced from 5 exons. NCBI's taxonomy places the organism in Eukaryota, Metazoa, Chordata, Actinopteri, Siluriformes, Siluridae. The record is from RefSeq and is a predicted model, not a curated record.